GCGAACGCAGGGAACUGAAACAUCUCAGUACCUGCAGGAAAGGAAAUCAACCGAGACUCCGUCAGUAGCGGCGAGCGAACGCGGA
RNAcentral lists this ribosomal RNA (85 nucleotides) under uncultured organism. RNAcentral's name for it is "23S ribosomal RNA". It matches the Rfam family "Bacterial large subunit ribosomal RNA", at positions 179 to 263 of the family's 2925-position model. The record is from RNAcentral.